UACGGAGGGUGCAAGCGUUAAUCGGAAUUACUGGGCGUAAAGCGCACGCAGGCGGUCUGUCAAGUCGGAUGUGAAAUCCCCGGGCUCAACCUGGGAACUGCAUUCGAAACUGGCAGGCUAGAGUCUUGUAGAGGGGGGUAGAAUUCCAGGUGUAGCGGUGAAAUGCGUAGAGAUCCGGAGGAACACCAAAGGCGAAGGCAGUGUCCUGGGGAGUACCUGACGCUCAGGUGCGAAAGCCAGGGGAGCGAACGGG
This 253-nucleotide ribosomal RNA is filed under the name uncultured bacterium. RNAcentral's name for it is "partial 16S ribosomal RNA". It matches the Rfam family "Bacterial small subunit ribosomal RNA", at positions 524 to 776 of the family's 1533-position model. The record is from RNAcentral.